AGCUUUUGCGUAGGCUCUAAUCAGAUUCCAACAUUGAAUCGUACUGACGAGUGGAAGUAUCUCGGUAUACACUAUACUGCAAGUGGGAGGGUUUGAUGAAAUCCGGUAGAGGACAUUGGUCCAAAGCUACAAAGGUUGUCAGAGGCCCCCCUCGCUCGCCCUUCAAACUGUCCUGAUCCCACAACUCUAUCACAAGUUAUCCCUUGGGAGUGUGACGAUAGGCGUCUUAAGAAAGACUGACAAACUAAUAGGUUUCUAUGUGCGAAGAUGGCUAAAUCUUCCGUCGGAUGUGCCGGUAGCAUUCGUUCGAGGUAGAUUGAUAGCUGAACAAAAUGAAUUGUUAUCGCGUCCGGCAGUAGAAAAGUAUUGGGCGAACAGAUUGUACCUCUCCGUUGACGGCAGCGGACUCCGUGAAGCGGGCCACUAAGAUCCUCAACAUGGGUGGGUUAGUCAACCCACGCGUUUACUAACAGGAAAGGAAUAUAUAGACGGUAUUCGUCUGCGGAUAAAUGCCCUACCCACAAAGUCUCGUACUACGAGGGGAAGGCACGAGUUGGAACGGCAGUGUCGUGCGGGAUGUGACGCUCCCGAAACAACAAACCACAUUAUGCAAAAAUGCUAUCGUUCGCAUGGGAGGCGCGUAGCUAGACACAACUGCGUAGUAAAUCGAAUCAAGCGGGGACUUGAGGAGAGAGGCUGCGUGGUCAUUGCUAAACCAAGUCUGCAGUGCGAAUCCGGCCUUAAUAAACCAGACCUGGCAGUUCGACAGUUAGACAGUUCAUGUACCUUAGCGGGUUUUCCCGUGAUUGGACUUAGACAAAAACAUUUGGUUCACAUACAUCUGCCUGCUGCCUUGGCACAAUAUCAAAAAGGCAUAAACAUCGCACAUAUUGGUUAUUUACGGCUAUGAGGAUGGUUUUAGUACGUAGGCGUUGCGGAACCUCUGUUCAGAUAGAAUCGUGCAUGCAAGGUAAACUGACCACAAGAAAAAUGGCAGCCCUAGUAUCUCUCAAAGAUUUCCAUACCUUUGCGAUCAAAAAAAAAAAAAAAUAGCCAAAUGCCUCGUCAUCUAAUUAGUGACGCGCAUGAAUGGAUUAACGAGAUUCCUACUGUCCCUAUCUACUAUCUAGCGAAACCACAGCCAAGGGAACGGGCUUGGAAUAAAUAGCGGGGAAAGAAGACCCUUUUGAGCUUGACUCUAAUCUGGCAGUGUAAGGAGACAUAAGAGGUGUAGAAUAAGUCGGAGAUAUUAGACCUCGGUUUGGUAUCGUCAAUGAAAUACCACUACUCUUAUUGUUUCCUUACUUACUUUAUUAAAUGGAACGUGUAUCAUUUCCCAGCCAUUAUACGGAUAUAUUUAUUAUAUCUUAUGGUAUUGGGUUUUGAUGCAAGCUUCUUGAUCAAAAUAUCACGAGUUUGUUAUAUAAUCGCAAACAAAUUCUUUAAUAAAACGAUGCAUUUAUGUAUUUAUACACGUUACUCGUAGAGUAAAAGGGUAUACUAGAUUCGUUGAAAAGUAUGUAACAGGCAGAAGGAAGCGUUUCCGACCAUAUAAAGUAUAUAUAUUCUUGAUCAGGAUCAAUAGCCGAGUCGAUCUGGCCAUGUCCGUCUGUCCGUCCGUCUGUCCGUCCGUCUGUCCGUCCGUAUGAACGUCGAGAUCUCAGGAACUACUAAAGCUAGAAAGUUGAGACUAAGCAUACAAACUCCAGGGACAUAGAAGCAGCGCAAGUUUGUCGAUUCAUGUUGCCACGCCCACUCUAACGCCCACAAACCACCCAAAACUCCCACGCCCACACUUUUGAAAAAUGUUUUGAAAUUUUUCCAUUUUUAUAUUAGUCUUGUUAUUUUCUAUAAAUUUACGAAAAAACUUUCUGCCAUGCCCACUCUAACGCCCACAAACCGCCCAAAACUCCCACGCCCACACUUUUGAAAAAUGUUUUGAAAUUUUUCCAUUUUUAUAUUAUGUCUUGUUAUUUUCUAUCUAUUUACGAAAAAACUUUUUGCCACGCCCACUCUAACGCCCUCAAACCGCCCAAAGCUGAUACGCCCACACUUUUGAAAAAUGUUUUGAUAUUUUUUCAUUUUUAUAUUGGUCUUGUGAAUUUUUUAUCGAUUUGCCAAGAAACGUUCUGCCACGCCCACUAUAAGGCUUACAAACCGCCAAAAACUGUGUUUAGGACUCUCCUUUUCCCUUCCACUAGCUGAGUAACGGGUAUCAGAUAGUCGGGGAACUCUCUCUUCUUUUGAUUUGAAAAUUUGGUAUAACUCCAAUUUCUCAGGUAUGAUCCAAUUCAAGGACAUUGCCAGGUAGGGAGUUUGACUGGGGCGGUACAUCUCUCAAAUAAUAACGGAGGUGUCCCAAGGCCAGCUCAGUGCAGACAGAAACACACAUAGAACAAAAGGGCAAAUGCUGACUUGAUCUCGGUGUUCAGUACACACAGGGACAGCAAAAGCUCGACCUAUCGAUCCUUUUGAUUUAAAGAGUUUUUAACCAGAAGUGUCAGAAAAGUUACCAUAGGGAUAACUGGCUUGUGGCGGCCAAGCGUUCAUAGCGAAGUCGCUCUGAUGUCGGCUCUUCCUAUCAUUGUGAAGCAAAAUUCACCAAGCGUUGGAUUGUUCACCCAUGCAAGGGAAAGUGAGCUGGGUUUAGACCGUCGUGAGACAGGUUAGUUUUACCCUACUAAUGACAAAACGUUGUUGCGACAGCAUUCCUGCGUAGUACGAGAGGAACCGCAGGUACGGACCAAUGGCACAAUACUUAUUCGAGCGAACAGUGGUAUGACGCUACGUCUGUUGGAUUAUGCCUGAACGCCUCUAAGGUCGUAUCCGUGCUGGUCUGCAAUGAUAAAUAAGGGGCAAUUUGCAUUGUAUGGCUUCUAAACCAUUUAAAGUUUAUAAUUUACUUUAUAAACGACAAUGGAUGUGAUGCCUAUGUAAUUUGUAACAUAGUAAAUUGGGAGGAUCUUCGAUCACCUGAUGCCGCGCUAGUUACAUAUAAAAGCAUUAUUU
RNAcentral lists this ribosomal RNA (3009 nucleotides) under Drosophila yakuba. Its description in RNAcentral is "eukaryotic LSU rRNA". The stretch from base 951 to 3009 matches the Rfam family "Eukaryotic large subunit ribosomal RNA", at positions 1889 to 3320 of the family's 3401-position model. Lineage: Eukaryota; Metazoa; Arthropoda; Insecta; Diptera; Drosophilidae. The record is from RNAcentral.